RNAcentral lists this transfer RNA (76 nucleotides) under Candidatus Cloacimonadota bacterium. RNAcentral's name for it is "tRNA-Gly". It matches the Rfam family "tRNA". From Rfam's summary of the family: Transfer RNA (tRNA) molecules are approximately 80 nucleotides in length. Their secondary structure includes four short double-helical elements and three loops (D, anti-codon, and T loops). The record is from RNAcentral. Lineage: Bacteria; Pseudomonadati; Candidatus Cloacimonadota. RNAcentral also lists the same sequence under 1 other name.
GUGAGAAUAGCUCAGUUGGUAGAGCAUCAGCUUCCCAAGCUGAGGGUCGCGGGUUCGAAUCCCGUUGCUCGCUCCA